AAUAAUUAAAGGAGUUUGAUGGGGAAAUUUAUUAUAAAAGUUAAAGGUGAAAUUUGGUGUUUAAGUGUAGUAAGUUUGUUUAUUAAGAGUUCUUGAGGUUAUAAAAUUUUAGAUCUAAAUCAGGAUUAGAUACCCUGUUAUACUAUCUUUCAAUUUAAGGAUACUUGAGUAGUAAUCAGUUAUGUUCUCGAAACUUAAAGGAUUUGGCGGUAUUUUAGUCUAGUUAGAGGAACCUGUUCUAUAAACGAUAAACCACGAAGAAUCUUACUCUUUUUUGUAAAUCAGUUUGUAUACCGUCAUUAUUAGAUAAUCUUUAUAAAGAAUUAUUAAAAUAAGUGUUUUAGUAUAUUAGAUCAAGGUGCAGCCAAUAAGGGAGCAAGAAAUGGGUUACAAUGUUAUUGAUAUAAACUGGGAAGAAGCUGAAAAUUUUUUUGAAGGUGGAUUUAAUAGUAAUAGUCUUUUAAUAAGGGAUUAUGAUAAUAGCUCUAAGAUAUGUACACAUCGCCCGUCGCUCUCACUCUUAAUGU
RNAcentral lists this ribosomal RNA (527 nucleotides) under Manuscaris liui. RNAcentral's name for it is "partial 12S ribosomal RNA". The stretch from base 167 to 527 matches the Rfam family "Microsporidia small subunit ribosomal RNA", at positions 752 to 1217 of the family's 1311-position model. The record is from RNAcentral. Lineage: Eukaryota; Metazoa; Arthropoda; Malacostraca; Decapoda; Alvinocarididae.